AGGUAAUAGAUACCCGGGUAGUCCACGCCGUAAGCGAUGAAUACUAGGUGUAGGGGUUGUCAUGACCUCUGUGCCGCCGCUAAACGCAUUAAGUAUUCCGCCUGGGGAGUACGGUCGCAAGAUUAAAACUCAAAGGAAUUGACAGGGGCCCGCACAAGCAGCGGAGCAUGUGGUUUAAUUCGAAGCAACGCGAAGAACCUUACCUAGACUUGACAUCUCCUGAAUUACUCUGUAAUGGAGGAAGCCACUUCGGUGGCAGGAAGACAGGUGGUGCAUGGUUGUCGUCAGCUCGUGUCGUGAGAUGUUGGGUUAAGUCCCGCAACGAGCGCAACCCUUAUUGUUAGUUGCUACCAUUUAGUUGAGCACUCUAGCGAGACUGCCCGGGUUAACCGGAGGAAGGUGGGAUGACGUCAAAUCAUCAUGCCCCUUAUGUCUAGGGCUACACACGUGCUACAAUGGUCGGUACAAUGAGAUGCAACCUCGCGAGAGUGAGCAAAACUAUAAAACCGAUCUCAGUUCGG
This 521-nucleotide ribosomal RNA is filed under the name uncultured bacterium. Its description in RNAcentral is "bacterial SSU rRNA". It matches the Rfam family "Bacterial small subunit ribosomal RNA", at positions 774 to 1296 of the family's 1533-position model. The record is from RNAcentral.